Molecule: small nuclear RNA, 108 nt
Filed under: Carlito syrichta (Philippine tarsier)
Lineage: Eukaryota; Metazoa; Chordata; Mammalia; Primates; Tarsiidae
Source: RNAcentral
GUGCUUGCUUUGGCAGUACAUGUACUAAAAUUGGAAAAACACAGAGAAGAUUAGCCUGGCCCCUUGCACAAGGGUAACACGCAAUUUCAUGAAGCGUUCCAUAUUUUU